UACGUAGGGUGCAAGCGUUAAUCGGAAUUACUGGGCGUAAAGCGUGCGCAGGCGGUUAUGUAAGACAGAUGUGAAAUCCCCGGGCUCAACCUGGGAACUGCAUUUGUGACUGCAUAGCUAGAGUACGGUAGAGGGGGAUGGAAUUCCGCGUGUAGCAGUGAAAUGCGUAGAUAUGCGGAGGAACACCGAUGGCGAAGGCAGCCUCCUGGGCCAGCACUGACGCUCAUGCACGAAAGCGUGGGGAGCAAACAGG
Molecule: ribosomal RNA, 253 nt
Filed under: uncultured bacterium
Lineage: Bacteria
Description: partial 16S ribosomal RNA
Rfam family: Bacterial small subunit ribosomal RNA
Source: RNAcentral